Molecule: ribosomal RNA, 301 nt
Filed under: uncultured bacterium
Lineage: Bacteria
Description: partial 16S ribosomal RNA
Rfam family: Bacterial small subunit ribosomal RNA
Source: RNAcentral
CAGCCGCCGCGGGAAUACGAAGGGUGCAAGCGUUACUCGGAAUUACUGGGCGUAAAGCGUGCGUAGGUGGUGGUUUAAGUCCGUUGUGAAAGCCCUGGGCUCAACCUGGGAAUUGCAGUGGAUACUGGGUCACUAGAGUGUGGUAGAGGAUAGUGGAAUUUCCGGUGUAGCAGUGAAAUGCGUAGAGAUCGGAAGGAACAUCUGUGGCGAAGGCGACUAUCUGGGCCAACACUGACACUGAGGCACGAAAGCGUGGGGAGCAAACAGGAUUAGAUACCCCUGUAGUCCCUGUCUCUCAUAC